Molecule: ribosomal RNA, 571 nt
Filed under: Pristimantis cf. acuminatus AC-2021
Lineage: Eukaryota; Metazoa; Chordata; Amphibia; Anura; Strabomantidae
Description: partial large subunit ribosomal RNA
Rfam family: Bacterial large subunit ribosomal RNA
Source: RNAcentral
AAACAUCGCCUCUUGACCCCAUAAGAGGUCCAGCCUGCCCAGUGACUCAAUUCAACGGCCGCGGUAUCCUAACCGUGCGAAGGUAGCGUAAUCACUUGUCUUCUAAAUAAAGACUAGUAUGAAAGGCAUCACGAGGACUAAACUGUCUCCCCCCUCUAAUCAGUGAACCUAAUCUCCCCGUGAAGAAGCGGGGAUAAAUAUAUAAGACGAGAAGACCCUGUGGAGCUUAAAACAUCAUAACACCUGCUUUUUUCUCCAUUCAGAUUUCUCAUCCCCAGCAUGCUGAUUAUAAGUUUUUGGUUGGGGUGACCGCGGAGAAAAAUUUACCCUCCACAAUGAAAGGCCCCUCCCCCCAACAAUAAGUUACAACUUUACAUUUCAAUAAAUUGACAUCCAUUGACCCAAUACUUGAUCAACGAACCAAGUUACCCCAGGGAUAACAGCGCAAUCCACUUUGAGAGCUCCUAUCAACAAGUGGGCUUACGACCUCGAUGUUGGAUCGGGAUAUCCUAGUGGUGCAGCAGCUACUAAAGGUUCGUUUGUUCAACGAUUAAAAUCCCACGUGAUCUGA